Molecule: ribosomal RNA, 253 nt
Filed under: uncultured bacterium
Lineage: Bacteria
Description: partial 16S ribosomal RNA
Rfam family: Bacterial small subunit ribosomal RNA
Source: RNAcentral
UACGUAGGGGGCAAGCGUUGUCCGGAUUUAUUGGGCGUAAAGAGCGUGUAGGCGGCCAUGUAGGUCCGUUGUGAAAACUCGAGGCUCAACCUCGAGACGCCGAUGGAAACCAUGUGGCUAGAGUCCGGAAGAGGAGAAUGGAAUUCCUGGUGUAGCGGUGAAAUGCGCAGAUAUCAGGAAGAACACCCGUGGCGAAGGCGGCUCUCUGGGACGGUACUGACGCUGAGACGCGAAAGCGUGGGGAGCGAACAGG